UACGGAGGGGGCUAGCGUUGUUCGGAAUUACUGGGCGUAAAGCGUACGUAGGCGGCUUUGUAAGUUAGAGGUGAAAGCCCGGGGCUCAACCCCGGAAUUGCCUUUAAGACUGCAUCGCUUGAAUCAUGGAGAGGUGAGUGGAAUUCCAAGUGUAGAGGUGAAAUUCGUAGAUAUUCGGAAGAACACCAGUGGCGAAGGCGACUCACUGGACAUGUAUUGACGCUGAGGUACGAAAGCGUGGGGAGCAAACAGG
This 253-nucleotide ribosomal RNA is filed under the name uncultured bacterium. RNAcentral describes it as "partial 16S ribosomal RNA". It matches the Rfam family "Bacterial small subunit ribosomal RNA", at positions 524 to 776 of the family's 1533-position model. The record is from RNAcentral.